This 253-nucleotide ribosomal RNA is filed under the name uncultured bacterium. RNAcentral describes it as "partial 16S ribosomal RNA". It matches the Rfam family "Bacterial small subunit ribosomal RNA", at positions 524 to 776 of the family's 1533-position model. The record is from RNAcentral.
UACGUAGGUGGCAAGCGUUGUUCGGAAUUAUUGGGCGUAAAGAGCUUGUAGGCGGUUUGUCGCGUCUGCUGUGAAAAUCCGGGGCUCAACCCCGGACUUGCAGUGGGUACGGGCAGACUAGAGUGUGGUAGGGGAGACUGGAAUUCCUGGUGUAGCGGUGAAAUGCGCAGAUAUCAGGAGGAACACCGAUGGCGAAGGCAGGUCUCUGGGCCACUACUGACGCUGAGAAGCGAAAGCAUGGGGAGCGAACAGG